RNAcentral lists this ribosomal RNA (440 nucleotides) under uncultured bacterium. RNAcentral's name for it is "partial 16S ribosomal RNA". It matches the Rfam family "Bacterial small subunit ribosomal RNA", at positions 338 to 795 of the family's 1533-position model. The record is from RNAcentral.
CCUACGGGUGGCAGCAGUGAGGAAUAUUGGUCAAUGGACGCAAGUCUGAACCAGCCAUGCCGCGUGGAGGCUGAAGGUUUUCGGAUUGUAAACUCCUUUUGUUAGAGAAGAUAAUGACGGUAUCUAAAGAAUACGCACCGGCUAACUCCGUGACAGCAGCCGCGGUAAUACGGAGGUUGCCAGCGUUCCUCGGAAUCACUGGGCGUAAAGAGCGCGUAGGCGGGAUAGCAAGUCAGAUGUGAAAUCCUAUGGCUUAACCAUAGAACUGCAUUUGAAACUGUUAUUCUAGAGUAUGGGAGAGGUAGGUGGAAUUCUUGGUGUAGGGGUAAAAUCCGUAGAGAUCAAGAGGAAUACUCAUUGCGAAGGCGACCUGCUAGAACAUAACUGACGCUGAUGCGCGAAAGCGUGGGGAGCAAACAGGAUUAGAUACCCGAGUAGUC